ACUCCUACGGGAGGCAGCAGUAGGGAAUCUUCCACAAUGGGCGCAAGCCUGAUGGAGCAACACCGCGUGAGUGAAGAAGGGUUUCGGCUCGUAAAGCUCUGUUGUUAAAGAAGAACACGUAUGAGAGUAACUGUUCAUACGUUGACGGUAUUUAACCAGAAAGUCACGGCUAACUACGUGCCAGCAGCCGCGGUAAUACGUAGGUGGCAAGCGUUAUCCGGAUUUAUUGGGCGUAAAGAGAGUGCAGGCGGUUUUCUAAGUCUGAUGUGAAAGCCUUCGGCUUAACCGGAGAAGUGCAUCGGAAACUGGAUAACUUGAGUGCAGAAGAGGGUAGUGGAACUCCAUGUGUAGCGGUGGGAUGCGUAGAUAUAUGGAAGAACACCAGUGGCGAAGGCGGCUACCUGGUCUGCAACUGACGCUGAGACUCGAAAGCAUGGGUAGCGAACAGGAUUAGAUACCCUGGUAGGAUAGCG
This 473-nucleotide ribosomal RNA is filed under the name uncultured bacterium. RNAcentral's name for it is "bacterial SSU rRNA". It matches the Rfam family "Bacterial small subunit ribosomal RNA", at positions 335 to 801 of the family's 1533-position model. The record is from RNAcentral.